Molecule: transfer RNA, 85 nt
Filed under: Williamwhitmania taraxaci
Lineage: Bacteria; Pseudomonadati; Bacteroidota; Bacteroidia; Bacteroidales; Williamwhitmaniaceae
Rfam family: tRNA
About the family: Transfer RNA (tRNA) molecules are approximately 80 nucleotides in length. Their secondary structure includes four short double-helical elements and three loops (D, anti-codon, and T loops).
Source: Rfam by way of RNAcentral
GCCCGGAUGGCGGAAUUGGUAGACGCGCUGGACUUAAAAUCCUGUAACCUUUGCGGUUGUGCGGGUUCAAUUCCCGCUCCGGGUA